Molecule: long non-coding RNA, 223 nt
Filed under: Mytilus galloprovincialis (Mediterranean mussel)
Lineage: Eukaryota; Metazoa; Mollusca; Bivalvia; Mytilida; Mytilidae
Source: RNAcentral
UGAGGGGGAGGACAAGGGGUACCCUUCUCCCUUCUCCCACCCCUCUUCUCCUUUCUCCUACCCCUCUUCUCCUUUUUUUAUUUUUUUUUUAAUUUACCGGAAAAAAGAGAGAUAUUUUAUUUUUUCAUAUUUUAUUUAUUUCUCCAACUUUUUCUCCUUUCUCCCAGCCUUCCUCUCCUUUCUCCUACCCCCUUUCUCCCUGUCUCCCUUACCCCUGUCCUCC